UGCUGUGAUGGUGUAAUUUGCGACUGACUCUGUGACCAGUGACAGAAUGCCUACUGUCGUAUGCUGCACAGAUGGUUGACGAACAAAGAGUCUGAGCG
This 98-nucleotide small nucleolar RNA is filed under the name Cynoglossus semilaevis (tongue sole). Its description in RNAcentral is "Small nucleolar RNA SNORD16 (ENSCSEG00000007027.1)". It matches the Rfam family "Small nucleolar RNA SNORD16". Rfam says of the family: U16 is a member of the C/D class of snoRNA which contain the C (UGAUGA) and D (CUGA) box motifs. U81 acts as a guanine methylation guide and is found in an intron of ribosomal proteins L1 gene in animals. Lineage: Eukaryota; Metazoa; Chordata; Actinopteri; Pleuronectiformes; Cynoglossidae. The record is from Rfam by way of RNAcentral.